This is a long non-coding RNA of Arachis duranensis, 754 nucleotides long. RefSeq lists it as uncharacterized. The record is from RefSeq and is a predicted model, not a curated record. NCBI's taxonomy places the organism in Eukaryota, Viridiplantae, Streptophyta, Magnoliopsida, Fabales, Fabaceae. The transcript has 6 exons.
AUGAAGAAAAAAUCUGUCUCUAAAACUUGGAGAGACUUCUCUCCUCCAUCGCAGACAGCACUACCGUGGCUUUACUCUCGUCGUGUAUAAGCCACGGUAGUUUCGUCAUCGUCGUGACAACUCCUUCUCCUCUUCAUCCUUGUAAAUUAGUACUUUCAUAUAGGUUCAGCCUGUGUAAUGUGGAUUUUCCAUAGAGUUCAACAGUAGAGGGUAUCUGCUGCGUAGUUUCGUCAUCGUCGUGACAACUCCUUCUCCUCUUCAUCCUUGUAAAUUAGUACUUUCAUAUAGGUUCAGCCUGUGUAAUGUGGAUUUUUCAUAGAGUUCAACAGUAGAGGGUAUCUGCUGCCUAAUAUUGGCUUGUGUGUGUUGUGAACUUUGGAUUUGAGUUUGACCUUUAAGAGUUGGAGAUAAGUAUCUUAUAACAAGGUGUGGGCGUCAUGAGAUAGGGGACUUUGGGAGACUCAGAAGUUACAUGCACCAAUGGAUCAGCUUCGUCACUGGAUAGCGGCGGUUUCCUGUAAUCCAGGGAUGUAUCAUGAUAGAUAUCCCACCAUUUCUUCACCAGCAUCUUUAUGUCCUCCCUCUGCAUAUUUUCUUCCUUUCCGGGUGGCGCCAGAGCACGGCAAGAACAAGGUUAUAAACGGAGGGAAUGGGCUCGUAAAUGUCCUUGAAAUACAUGUUGAGGAAAUCCUGCUCCGCAAAGGGAGUAGGAGGUGUGAUCUGGAGUUUUCUGAGAAGGUCGUGGUAAGUUUCC